UAGCUUUGUCCUAAGUCAAACUUCUCUAACUUUGACAGUUUUUAGAAAAAAUAUAUAUAUAUAUUAACAUCUACAAGUUCAAAUUAAUUACUGUUAAGGCAUAUUUCAUGCAAAAUUUAAUGAACUAAUUUGAUGCUGUAGAUGUUGGUACAUUUUUCUAUAAACUUGGUCAAAGUUAAAGAAGUUUGACUUAGGACAAAGUUAA
Molecule: microRNA precursor, 205 nt
Filed under: Sorghum bicolor (sorghum)
Lineage: Eukaryota; Viridiplantae; Streptophyta; Magnoliopsida; Poales; Poaceae
Description: MIR1435 microRNA precursor family
Rfam family: MIR1435 microRNA precursor family
Source: Rfam by way of RNAcentral